GCCCCCUCCCUCUCUCUCUCUCUCUCUCUAUCUAUCUAUCUAUCUAUUUGUGUAUGGUUGGAAGUCAUUUGCAAUCAUUUAACGGUUUUUCUUCUUUGGCUCAUGUUUCUGGCUUCUUCUUUGGAUUGCAUAAUUCUAACAGGCAUUUAGUAUUGCUUAUUAUAUAUAUUCGAGGGCUUUUUUAAGCUGCCGGUGAUAGUUGGAACUGUACAGAAUUUCCGGAAGAAUCAUUUAUCAAAUCCUCAUAUUAGAGAAAGUCGUGGAUUUUCAACUUUCUGGGGUCGAGGAAUCAUAAAAUAUUAUGGCUGAUCAUAAACGCGAAGCCGACUCCCAGGAUGAAUGUUUCAUCGCAAAGAGGACCAAGGCCACUGACUUGGAUGCAGAAGGUGGGGAAAAGGGAAGGGUUGAGAAAGAAAAUGAUGUGCUAGAAAGUAACCUGCAAGUUUCCAAUGAAACAAUUAGUCCAAAUGGAAGUAAUUCACAGCAAGAGCUUUCUAAGGACUGCAAGAAAGUCGCUGAGAUCCCUGAGAUCAAUAGUGCAACUAAAGAUGCAGUCUUGUGCAAUUCAGAAACCAUACAUCAAGAAGUUAGCAAACUAUCAUGUAUUGAAGCUGAUGCAGCAGAAGAUAAGGGUUCUAGACACACGAUGGAGGAUGCAUGGGUGGUUCUUCCAGAUGCAAGCUUGGAAUAUCCUGGAAGCUUAAGAUGUGCACAUUUUGCAAUUUAUGAUGGACAUGGUGGUCGUUUGGCUGCUGAAUAUGCACAGAGAUAUUUACAUGCAAAUGUUCUUGCAGCAGGGCUACCACGUGAGUCGAUGGAUGUAAAAGCUGCCAAAAAAGCCAUACUUGAAGGGUUUCGGAGAACUGAUGAAUCAUUACUUCAAGAAAGUGCUAAAGGGUAUUGGCUAGACGGUGCAACCGCUGUAUGCAUUUGGAUUUUGGGGCAAACAGUUUUAGUUGCUAAUAUUGGAGAUGCUAAAGCUAUAUUAGCACGAUCAGCUUCUGCUGAUGAAUCCCUUAGUCUCUCAAAUGAAUCAAGAUCUCCAUUGAAGGCCAUUGUUAUGACAAGAGAACACAAAGCUAUCUAUCCUCAAGAACGUGCUCGCAUUCAAAAGGCUGGAGGUUCUGUUGGUCCUAAUGGACGACUGCAGGGUCGCCUUGAGGUUUCUAGAGCCUUUGGAGAUCGUCAAUUCAAGAAGGUGGGGGUUAUUGCAACCCCUGAUGUUCAUUCUUUUGAACUUACAAGAAGAGAGCAGUUCAUCAUUCUUGGUUGUGAUGGACUGUGGGGGGUUUUUGGACCAAGUGAUGCUGUUGAUUUUGUUCAGAAACAGUUAGAGGUAACAUUUCAUUACAGAUGUUAAAUGAUUAUGGAGCAGCAUUACUGUUUUCUUUUCAGGACUGCCAUUUUUUCAACUUCUAGCUGUUUUGUUGAAGCACAUGGAACAAUUCUCCUUUCCAUUUGGCAUAUAAAUAACCUUUGCAACUGAAUGAUGGCUUCCGAAACACAAUAUUUGAAACAUCAUCCGCGACUAUUGCAGCCCGCCGCCUUGUGAGGGAAGCUGUUCGUGAAAGACGCUGCAAGGAUAAUUGCACAGCUAUACUCAUUGUGUUCAGGCACAAUUAAUUGAUCCAUACAGCAUGGUUGGGGAACAACUUUUCUUUGUUGUGGCUAAUUUUGACUAAUGAACCCAUCGAUUCAGUUUGUAAUCCUGAAAGUGCAGUCCAGUAGGUCCAUUGAUAUUGUACAAUAGAGGAGUUGGUAUCCUUUUUGAUUUAAGGAAGUAGAUAGCAUACUUUUUUUAAAAAUAUAUCAGACUUAUGUUAAAGAGACGCUAUGAAAGUUACCUUGUGAUUAUGAGAUAAGUGUCACAUCCAAGUGUGAGAUAGGCGCCCCAACUUACGUCGUGCUACUGUUGUGAAUUAUUUUCAUUAUUUAAGCCUACCAUUCUGUCUCU
Non-coding RNA from Elaeis guineensis (African oil palm), 1954 nucleotides. NCBI's taxonomy places the organism in Eukaryota, Viridiplantae, Streptophyta, Magnoliopsida, Arecales, Arecaceae. The record is from RefSeq and is a predicted model, not a curated record.